RNAcentral lists this ribosomal RNA (485 nucleotides) under uncultured bacterium. RNAcentral's name for it is "partial 16S ribosomal RNA". It matches the Rfam family "Bacterial small subunit ribosomal RNA", at positions 30 to 508 of the family's 1533-position model. The record is from RNAcentral.
AUUGAACGCUGGCGGCAGGCCUAACACAUGCAAGUCGAGCGGAUGAAGGGAGCUUGCUCCUGGAUUCAGCGGCGGACGGGUGAGUAAUGCCUAGGAAUCUGCCUGGUAGUGGGGGAUAACGUCCGGAAACGGGCGCUAAUACCGCAUACGUCCUGAGGGAGAAAGUGGGGGAUCUUCGGACCUCACGCUAUCAGAUGAGCCUAGGUCGGAUUAGCUAGUUGGUGGGGUAAAGGCCUACCAAGGCGACGAUCCGUAACUGGUCUGAGAGGAUGAUCAGUCACACUGGAACUGAGACACGGUCCAGGCUCCUACGGGAGGCAGCAGUGGGGAAUAUUGGACAAUGGGCGAAAGCCUGAUCCAGCCAUGCCGCGUGUGUGAAGAAGGUCUUCGGAUUGUAAAGCACUUUAAGUUGGGAGGAAGGGCAGUAAGUUAAUACCUUGCUGUUUUGACGUUACCAACAGAAUAAGCACCGGCUAACUUCGUGC